Molecule: ribosomal RNA, 279 nt
Filed under: uncultured bacterium
Lineage: Bacteria
Description: partial 16S ribosomal RNA
Rfam family: Bacterial small subunit ribosomal RNA
Source: RNAcentral
UGCCAGCCGCCGCGGUAAUACGGAGGGUGCAAACGUUGUUCGGAAUUACUGGGCGUAAAGCGCGUGUAGGCUGUUUUGCAAGUCGGGUGUGAAAGCCCAGGGCUCAACCUUGGAAGUGCACUCGAAACUGCAAGACUAGAAUUUCGGAGAGGGUAGCGGAAUUCUGGGUGUAGAGGUGAAAUUCGUAGAUAUCCAGAGGAACACCGGUGGCGAAGGCGGCUACCUGGACGAGUAUUGACGCUGAGACGCGAAAGCGUGGGGAGCAAACAGGAUUAGAUA